This 599-nucleotide ribosomal RNA is filed under the name Orbilia blumenaviensis. Its description in RNAcentral is "partial large subunit ribosomal RNA". It matches the Rfam family "Eukaryotic large subunit ribosomal RNA", at positions 77 to 691 of the family's 3401-position model. The record is from RNAcentral. Lineage: Eukaryota; Fungi; Ascomycota; Orbiliomycetes; Orbiliales; Orbiliaceae.
GCCUCAGUAACGGCGAGUGAAGCGGCAACAGCUCAAAUUUGAAAUCUGGAGCCUUCGGCUUCCGAGUUGUAAUUUGAAGAGGAUGUUUCGGUGCGACCUGGGCCUAAGUUCCUUGGAACAGGACGUCAUGGAGGGUGAGAAUCCCGUACAUGGCUGCAGGUUUGCUUCUAUGUGAAACUCCUUCGAAGAGUCGAGUUGUUUGGGAAUGCAGCUCAAAAUGGGUGGUAAAUUUCAUCUAAAGCUAAAUAUUGGCGGGAGACCGAUAGCGCACAAGUAGAGUGAUCGAAAGAUGAAAAGCACUUUGAAAAGAGAGUUAAACAGUACGUGAAAUUGUUGAAAGGGAAGCGCUUGCAAUCAGACUCGCCUUCAGUUGAUCAGCCUUCCUUCUGGUUGGUGCACUCUGCUGUUGGCGGGCCAGCAUCAGUUGGGGCGGUGGGACAAAGGCGGCAGGAAUGUGGCUCGCUUCGGUGAGUGUUAUAGCCUGCUGUGUCAUGCCACCAGUCCCGACUGAGGUCCGCGGUUCGCCUAGGAUGCUGGCUUAAUGGUUGUAAGCGACCCGUCUUGAAACACGGACCAAGGAGUCUAACAUCUAUGCGAGU